UUUUUUUUUUUUUAAGUUCAGCUAGCAAGAUCUAAGCAACGAUUCGACGAUUGGUACAAUGGAUCAGUACCAUUGACGAGUAGAAAAAUAUAUCUUAGAUUCAACUUGAUUUGAUGGCCAGUGACGGAAAUUGGAGAAAAAAAUUAUUUAAAUUUUGAUUCGUUGAUUAUAACGUUCAAAGUUGUUUCAUUAAAAUGAAAAACUAAACUAUAGAAGAGAAAUGAAAGAAGAGAUUUCGAUUGGUGCAAUAGUGCAAUCGAAAAAAGUCAUCCAAUAGUAAUUUAAUAGCCCAAUGACAUAAAUGAAAACUUUCGAAUAGUUCAGUAACUAUUUUAUAACUUUUUAAAGUUGAGUGACCAAAAUAUAAACUUACUAAUAAUGUAAUGAACUUAAGUGUAGUUCACCCUUAAAUUAAAUUAUUGGUUUGCAUUUAAUGUAUUAUUAUGGUAUAAAUUCAAUCCAUGUGUUUUAAUCUCAUUAAUAGUUGAACAUAUCGGUAAAACAAAUAAUUUUCAGAUUAAGGAUUUGACCUUAUCAAUGAUGAUUAAGGAUAAAAUAAAUUUUUAUCUACUUAAUAAUCAUAUAUUAUCAUAUAGUUAAGUAUCGAAACCUGCUAAUCAUGCAUCUAUUAGUUUGUGGACAUAUAAACUUAUUUCCAAAAGACUAUCUUCACAUAAUUGAAUUUUUUUAAUAAUUUCACUAUAGAUUUCGAUUGUACAUGCUCUUUUUUAACACAAUGCUUAAAAUUAUCCAUAGUCUCUCCCCAAUCCAUAGAUAGAAGGAUAAGCGCACUGAAACCCACGUCCUUCUGCAUUGAUAAUGUCGUAACCAUUUUUUUGGAAAAACGAGAAUCGGCUUGGAUUUUGAAAAUAAAAACGAAUAGAGGAGUCGCCACCAAUCCUUUUUGAUUAGGUGUGAUCGGGUCACCUUUAAAUUAACUAUUUUAAUAAAAGUUAAGAUUUAUCAAAAUGAUAAUUUUGGGUCUACGAAACUCAGAAAAUGAGUUCGAGAGUCGGUUACACAUGAGGAAGGAUUAGCACCCUCGAUACGCCCAAAAUUGGUACCUAGUUGAUUAAUUAAUGUCUUAAGAUCGAAGAUUGAAAACUUUGAAGACUUUUGAAAUACGAUCAUUCUUUGUAAAAAGCUCAGGUGAUAAAGACCUUCUCGUCUCAAAAUAUGAAAUGUCACAUCCAGUAAGUUAGGACAUGAUAUCUUAAAUUUCCGAGAGCGAGCUUGCCUUUUAUAAAAUCUGUGUAUUUUAUUAAAAGGGUAUUCGAUUAUUUAGAGUAAACGAGAGAAGUCGAAACCCAGUAAGUUAGGGCAUGUUUUCCUGAAUUUUCGAACACCGAAUAUUGUCUUUAUUUCAAAACAAAUUCUUAUUUUGAGAUGACAAAAAGUCAUACCCGGUAAGUUAGGGCACAACACUUCGCAUCUUCGAGAAUAAGCAUUUUUCAAAACUCGUAUAGCGAUUUAAAAUAGUAAUCCGUUAUUUAGGUUAAAUGAAAAAAAAUCAAAACCCAGUAAGUUAGGGCACGAUUGUCUCAAAUUACCAAAUACGGAAUAUCACUUUUAUGAAAGAUUUAUUUUAAGGUAUCAAGUAAAAAAAUAUAAUGUGAUUUAUUGAAAAAAUAUAAAACCAAAUCGUGGUGCUAAUACACAAUAAUAAGUGCGACAGUAUCAAUAACAAUGGUAUAAGUGAUUAUAAAAGGAUGAAAGCAAGGCUAGCAAUAUAGAAAUAUAAAACACAAGCAUAAGGCAAAUGAAAUGAUCGAAUAAAAAUAAAUAAAGCAUGGCAAAAUAAAAUGACAAUGAUGACGAAAACGAUAAAAAUAAUAAUAAUUUAAAUAAUAAUAGCAUAAAAUGAUAAUAAUAAAUGUGGUAUUAAAAUAUAUACGUGAUAAUAGAAAUGUAACGACCCAAAUUUUACCGUUACCGAAAAAGUGUAUUUUUGGAUCUCCGUUUCUAAAAAACGGAUUCGUAAAUAUUUAUUAAAAAUAUUUACGAAGUAAAAUGAGUGGUUAAUUAGAGUUUAAUUAAGUGAAUUUAAUUUAAUUAAUAGUAAUUAAGAAAAAGGACUAAAUUGAAUAAGAGGUAAAAGUUGAAUUAUAGAUUAAAAGAAAAUAAAAAGGACUAAAAAGGAAAUUAUACAAAAAGUAUAAAUUGAGGUGGUUUACCGUGAAGAAAAUCUAAGAUUUUUUUUAUGUUUAGUAUAUUAUUAUAUUAUUAUAUAAUAAAGAUAUUUUAUGUUUUAAUUAUAUUAUAUUAUAUUAUAUUAUAUUAUAUAAACUAAAGAAAGGAAAUAGAAACAGAAUGAAACGAAACAGAGAGCAGGGGAGAAAAAGAAAGAAAGAAAGGGAGAAAAGAGAAAAUUUAAGGUUUGAAGCUUUAAGCUUUAAUAGGUAAGUCAAUCAAGCCCUUUUUACUUAAUUUUGAUGUUUUAGAAGUUUUAGAACAAAGUUUUGAUGAAAUUAAGUUGAUAUUUUGAUAGUUAUUAGAUUUCUAGAUAUUUUCCAUGUUAAAUAAAAUGAUGAAUUAAGGGCUAAAUUGAUAGAAAUUCAAGUUAAAAAUGAUACAAGGAUUGAAUUGUAAAGUGAUUCAUAAGUUUUAUGCUUUAAGGACUAAAUUGAAAGAAUUUUUGAAAUUAUGGUUUUAUGAUGAAAAAUAGAUAAUUAUGUCUAAUUUUGGUUAAAAAUUGAGUAGAAAUAAAGUAUGAAUUAAGAUAGAAAAGUAAGUGAAUUUAGUUAGAAUUAAAUUGAAAUUAAAGUAGAAAAUCAACAUUUUGUACUAAGACUAUUUUGGACAGUAGCAAUAGUCUAAGUUUGAAAAAUCACCAAAAAUUGUAGAAAUUGAAUUAGAGGAUAAAUAAAAUAUUUAUUUAAAUCUUAUUGAGUCUAGUUUCUUAUAGAAGAAAUGGUAUAAGCAAUUGAAUUGUAAAUUAUGAGAUAUAAUGAAUUUUGUGAGACAAGGUCAGAAUGAAUUCGGGUUUCCCUGUUCUGACUUUGGAAAAUCACCAAAAAUUUAAUAAAAAUAAUUAGAGGCUUAAAGUUAUAUGUUUAUAAUCCCUAAUGAGUCUAUUUUCAGGAGAAAUCAAUGGGAAUAUUAUUCGAGUUCUGUACUGUGAGAUAAUUAAUUUUUAGUGAAGAAGAGUCGAAACUGUCAGACAGCAGAAUAGGGGUAAAUUUAAAGAAUAAACUGUAUUUAAUGGCUAAAUGAAAAAUUCUGAAAAUUUUAUGGUAAGAAUAUUUGUGAGUCUAGUUUUAGGAAAAAUUAGCGGAUAUUAAUUUAAAAUUCUGUAACUCAAGAUAUAAAUUAGUAAUGUAAUAAUGGUUAUGAAUUAUAUUAAAUUAUGAAUUAAUGUGAAAAAUUGAGAUAUAUAUAUUGAAUUGAAUGAGAUUGUGAAAAUUUGUGAAUAUAUGUAAUUAUUGGAAUGGUAUAUUAAGGAAAGAAUUAUUGAAUUGAGAAAGUGAAUUAUAAUUGAUACUGAACUAAGAUAGAAAUUAUACUGAAAAGUGAAUUAAAUACCCUAUUAACUAGUCGGACUGAGUCGGAUAUAAUUGGCAUGCCAUAGGAUUUAGAAGUGUUCAGGCACUGAGUGCCAUACUGGUGUGUUUGGUUGGAAUCCGCAUAUCCGCCAAAGUCCGAGUCUUGUUAAUAGGGAUAAAUAUGAAUAUUAAGUAAAAUUGAAAUAAGAAUUAAAUUCCCUAUUAACUUGUCGGGCUAGUCGGAUAUAAUUGGUAUACCAUAGGAUUGGAAGAGUACGGAAUUUAUUGGCUUUACCGAUCAGGGACUUUAUGUGCCGUAUUUUAGGCACUUAUGUGCUGGUUACUGUUACCGCUACUGCUACUGUUACCGAUUCGGCACUUUGUGUGUCGAAUAUUGUUACUGUUACCGUUACCGAUUCGGCACUUUGUGUGUCGAAUAUUAUUACUAUUACCGUUACCGAUUCGGCACUUUGUGUGUUGGAUAUUGUUACUGUACUGUUACUGUUACUGUUACUGUUCCGGAUUUGUUCCGAUGAGGUACUCUGUGUACCGUACUGCUACUGUUACUAUUACUGUUCCGGCUUCGACCGAUGUACUGGUGUGUUGAUUGAAUCCGUGAAUCCGUCUGAGUCCGAGUCAUGUUAAUAGGGGUAAAUAAAGGUAUAAAAUAACUGAUUAUUACUGAAUAAUUGACUGUUACCGGAUAAUUGACUGCUACUGGAUAUUAGACUGUUACUGAAUAAUUGAAUAUUACUGAAUAAUUGAUCAUUACUGAAUAACUGAUUGUCACUGAAUGAAUGACUGUUACUAAAUAACGUAAUUGUUACUGAAUAUCUGAUUUUACUGAAUAAUUGACUGUUACUGGAUAAUCGAUCAAUUGAUCGAUACUGAAUAACUGGUUAUUAUUGAAUAUUUGAUUGUUACCAAAUAACUGACUGUUAUUGAAUAAAUAAUUGUUCUGAGAGUUAAUGAACAUUACUGAUUGAUUAAUUGCUAUUGAAAAAUAAUAAAUGAUUUUGAAUUUAAAGUAGACCAAAACAUUAGUCGGAAAGUGAAUGUUUGAAUUCUCAUUGAGUUUGAAUAGUUCAAUAUAUAUAUAAAUUAAUAUGUUUUAUAAUUGUUUAAGUGUUCAGAUUAUAGAAAUACCACUGAGUGUAUACUCAGCGUACGGUUUGUUUCCGUGCGCAGGUUAAGUUAAGGCUAGACCGUUGAAUCAGCAUCCCAGGCCGAUCCCGAAUUCAAUGAGGUAAAGUAUGUUGAGCAUUGGUAAUGGAUGUACCCAGGAUGUUUAAUGAGAGUCAUUUAAGUUGUAAAAGUACUGAUGAAAUGAGUAAAUUAUGGUUGGCAACGAUAUGUAGUAUGAAUUUUGAAAUUUACUAAAAAUUCGUAGUGAUUCUAAAUUAGUCCCGAAUUGAAUUUACUGUUCAUAUUGGACCGCGAGGGCCCAUUAAAGGGACGACAUCUUAAAACUAGGAUGUGUGUGAAUAUUUAUUUUAAUUAAUGACCGGAAUUGGACUGUACUAAUUGGUAAUGUCUCGUAACCCUGUUUCAAUGACGGUAUAGGGUUAAGGGGCGUUGCAUUUAGUGGUAUCAGAGCUAUUCAGGUUUAGUCGAUUCUCGGACUAAAUCGAGCUCAGAAUUGAGUCUAGAGGUACAUGCCAUAAUUGAGUCGAAAUUGAGUCGGGAUCAGAUACUGAUAUAUUUGUUUAGUACUGUUUUAUAGUGAAAAUGUUAGAGGAAAAUAUCGAUGGUAUUGAUUAUGAAAUGUGUACUGGAGAUGAAUAGUCUCGUGAAUUAGAUGAAAACUGAAUCAACAACACUGGGUAUAAACUCAAUGGGUAAUUAAUUACUGAAUGAUGACUGAUGAAAUAAUAGAAAAAGAAAUGAUACAUAAUUAUUUAGAAUUAUAACUGAUGUUCUUCAGUGAGUAGAAGAAAUUGUAUCUGCUACAGUAUCUAUCCCUCCUGUUUCUUAAUCGGUUCCCGAAGUGCUUCAAGGUGUAGAGCUUGUCUGAACGGGUAAGUUAUCUGCUGUUAAUGAUAUGUACAUGUAUAUAUAUGGUGUGGAUGAAUUGAGUGUAACGGCCUAAUUUUCAGUGGUGUCGGAAAUGGUGAUUUGAGAUCACUAAAUUCGACAAAUAAGAUUGAACAAGAUAGUAAUUUAAUAUUUAUGAGUCAAGUAAGAAUUUAGAAGAAUUUGUGAAAUGGUGAAAUUAGUGAAUUAAAAGAAUUUAUUAGGUCAAACGGGUCAAAAAUGAGGUAUCGAGACCUCAAAGUUGAAAAUAAAGCUAUAAAUAUUUUUAUAAAUAUUUAUGGAGUGUCAUUGAGUUAGUAUUAAAGUUUCGUUAGAAAAUUUUAACGUUUGGAUGGCUAAUUAAUUAAAAAGGACUAAAUUGAAAAUAGCGCAAAAUUUGUUAAAUUGUGAGUAAAUAGAUUAAGUAUUUAAAAAGAUGGAUUUAAAGAGCAAUUAGACCCAAAGGUUAAUGGUUGGUUUGGGUAUGAAAUAAGCAAGAAAACAAUGUGAACAAGGGGCAAAAUUGGAAAUAGCAUAAAAGUUAAUAGUUAAAUAAUGAUGUAAUUGAAAAAUCUAGACAUUUCUUCAUAUUUUCUCAGCCAAAACGCUAUAGAAGGUCUGGAGAAAGCUGGUUUUUCAUAUUUUUACAUCAUGUGAGUUUAAUUCUUGCUUUUUCUUGAUAAUUUUUAUGUUUUUAUGACUUUUACAACUAGGUCCAUAUGUUUAAUUCAUUAGUUUUUGAUUAUAUGGAUAAUUUUGAAAGUUUCCAUGAAUAAGUGCUGAAAUUUUAUGAUGAUUUAUCAUGGAAUUGAGGUUUUAAUUCUAUUAUAUGAUGAUUUUAUGAAGAGAUUUCAUAGAAAUCAUUAUUUAGGACCUAAUUGUGAAAGUUAUAAAAUUAGGCUUUUGUGAUGAAACUUUGAAUGUCAAAGGCUGUGAAAUAGUUUAUAAUGUUUAAAUAAAGUGUUAUUUGAGAAGAAUUAGUUCAAUUGAUGAAUAAAUUGAGCAGGGACUAAAUUGUAAAAAUUGAAAAGUUUAGGGUAAUUGUGUAAUUUCGAAAAUUUAAGGGCAUAAAUUGUGAAAUAGAAUAGAAUUUAAAUGGAUGCUAAUGAAGGAAUGAUUUUAUAAUUAUAGAUCAAGAAAACGAACUGAAUCGUGGAAAGGAGAAAAUUCAAGAAUAGUCCCUGAAUUUCUACGACUUUUGCAAAUUAGUCCAGGUAAGUUCAUAUGGCAAAGUUCAAUGUUUUGAUAUGAAAAUCUUAUGAUUGUUAAAGUAUUUUAUUGUUGAUGAAUACUAUCAAUUUGCAUUAACUAAUAAAUAAUGUGUAACUAAAAGUACAAAUUAGUUGGAACAAUGGAUUUGAGUGCUUCUAUUCUGUGACCCUGAUGAAUUGACGAAAAAUAUGUGAUAAGUGCGCCCAUUUAAGACCAUAGCUGGGCUAUGGCAUCGGUGCAAUGUGAUAAUGUGACUCCGUAUAAGACCAUAGCUGGGCUAUGGCAUCGGUAUAAUGUGAUAAUGUGAUUCCGUAUAAGACCAUGUCUGGGAUAUGGCUUCGGUAUGAUAUGUGAACCGUGUAAGACCAUGGCAAGGCUAUGGCUUCGAUGUGUGAUGCGUAACAAUGUAAAAGUCCAUAGUUUACUAUGGCAAUGUGAUAAUGAAGCACUCAAUUCCCUUAUUGUUCCCUAAUUUGACAAUGAAGUAAAUGAGAAAUGGGCCUAAGGGAGUUAAAUUGUGAGUAGCCAUAUGGAAAUUAUUCCAAUGAGUUAUUAAAGAAAUUGUGAUUUGGAGGAUGAAAUAGUUAAACUAAUAGAUAUAUGAUUGUGUACAAUAUUUGAUAUGAUUUGUGUUUUUAUGCCUAUGAGCUUACUAAGCUUCAAUAAGCUUACUUGUGUGUGUUUGAUAAUUUCUUUUGUAGAUUGAAUUAAAGAGAAGUUGGUAGAUCGGAUCAACACAACAGGGCACACUAUUCAGAUCAAUUCCGGUAGUUUUUGUUUUAUGUUUAAAGAUUUAUAUGGCAUGUAUAGAGUUUGAAUGAAUUGAAGUAAAGAUGUUAUAAACUAGUUAACAAUAUUUGUACUAAAAUAGUUUUUGGUAAGUAGCAGUAGUUUGACUUUGAAAAAUCACUAAAAAUAGUAGAAAUGGAAUUAAAUAAUGAAUAAGUUAUGGAAUCGAAUCCUGAUGAGUCUAUUUUCAUAUGGAAGAAGCAAAACAGGUAUAUGAGCUAUAUUUUAUGAGAUGUUUAAAUUUUUGUGAAACAGGGCCAGAGCGAUUUCUGGAUCCCCUGUUCUGACUUUGGAAAUUCACCAUAAAUUUUACAAAGAUAAUUAGAAGUCAUACUUUAUAUGUACUGAUUCCUUAUUGAGUCUAGUUUUAUUAGAGACAAACGGCAUAGUCAUUGAAGCUCUGUACAGAGAGAUAUCUAAUUCGUAAUGCACAGAGGUCAGAGUAGUCAAACCCUGAAACAGGGGAGAUUUUAACUAAUAAACUGUACUAAUUGGCUUGACCAAAAAUUCUAGAAAAAAUUGGUAAGUAGAUAUAUGAGUAUAAAUUCUGGGAAAAUUUACGGAUUUGGAUUUUGAGUUUUAUAACUCGAGAUAUGAAUUAUUUAGCAACUAUGACGCAGUUGGACAGCUUGUCUGAAAAGUAUGAUAUAAAUUAUCUGAAUUUGGUUAAGUGCUCAAAUAAGUUUAGUAGUGCCUUGUGCUCGACUUCGGCAACGGUCUCGGGUAAGGGGCGUUACAUUGAGAAUUACAGUUGAGAAUGAUCUUGAAAGAAUUGAAAUCUGGUUAGAGAAUAUUAUCGGAAUUGUAAAUGAAUUGUUCUGUUCGCCGAUUAAAUGUUAGAAGGGUAUGAUAUUUCUGUUAAAAGAUUUAGGUUAUCAGUGGUAGAAAAUUUGAUUAUGUUGUGAUUAAGGGUUAUUUGGAAAUUUUCUGAGAUGAGUUCUAAAAGAAAUAUAUAUAUUAGUCAGAGAUUUCUUGAUCAGAAACGUAUAGAAUUCUUGAAGCUUAAACAGGAUCAUAUACCUACAACUGUGUAUGAAGGGAAUUUGUUUGAUUAAAUAAAUAUAUCAGAGGGUAUAUUCCGAUAGAAACUAUAAGGUACAAAUGGUUUUAAGAUGGUUUAAAAGAAGAUAAAAAGCUGAGGAAUGUAGAAUAAAUAGUGGAAUAUGUGAUUAGAUAUGAUUCUUCUGAUUAUUAUCUUAGUGAUUGCUUGAAAAAAAAAUUAAAAAAGACAUUAUUCAGAGUUCAAGACCGAGUAAUGUAGUUAACAGAGGUAGGUUACCCUGUAAUCUCAAAAAUACGAGUGAAAGCCGAAGUGUGACAAAUGAAUUCACUAUAAAAUCUGGAGAAUGAACAUCAGCCAGGGUAUAUGUUAAUUGUAUAUAAGAAGAUUUAUCUCUACCGAAUGUCAUUACAGGCACUUUCUUCUUUAUCGACACUAAUACGAUUAUUUUAAAUUGAUCUUGGUUUGACUAUUCCUAUGAUUACAUAAGUUCAGUAUCUAUUAAAGAUUUUCCUGUUGAGUUUGCUGAAAUUUUUUGUGUUGAAGCAUUAAAUUUUUCAGAUUAGUAUUUAUGGGCUGAUAAGAUCUGUAAGAACUGUUUGAUAAUGAUACUACUAUUUUCUGAUCGAUUUGAUGUUCUUACUGUUUGAUAUAAUCUCAAUAAUGGAAUGGUUAAUUCUGCAUGAUAUGGUGGUAAAUUAUAAGCAAAAGUAUAUUAUACUGCAAGGUUAGAAUGAUGAAAUGUUUUGUUGAAUCAGAGAAGAUUGAGCUAAUUGUCUAUUGUGAUAUUGAACAUGCCAACACAGAUAUAUGCCGGAAAGGGGUCAUGGUAUUUACCUUGUUUAUGUAUUGAAUAUUAAAGUAUUUAAGUUAAGGUUUAAAUCAGUGGCAAUAGUACAAGAGAAUUCUAAUGUGUUUCCAGAAGAGUUGCCCGAACUACUGUUGAUUGAAGAAGUUGAAUGUGCUAUAGAUUUUGUAACUGAAAUGAUAAUGAAAAAUAUAUUUGAAAUAAGAGGUUUUCUAAAACUAGUCGGUUAUUACAGAAAGAUGUGGAAUUGGAAUGAUCAGAUAGACGUUAGUAAGGUUCUGAUUAGUUGAAAGCUCAGUUAACUAAAGCACUAGUUUUGGUUCAGUCUGAAAUCUGAUAAAGAAACUUGUGAUUUACAGGGAUAGCAGUGUUUUGAUGCAAAAAAGAGAGAGUAAAGUAAUGGUUUAUGUUACGAAAUGUUAGAAUCACAUGGGAAGAAUUAUUUGAUACCUGAUUCGGAAGUGGUAGUUAUUGUUCUUGCAUUAAAAGAUCAAGAUAUGAUAAUUAAUUGUCAUCCGAAAAGACAAAUGAAUGUAUGUAUAUUCAAAUUGAAAGCUUUGUUUUGUGUUAUGAGCUAUGAACAUUUGACUGUUAUCAUUUGAAGAUGGAUCAAUUUUGGUAGAGAUAAAAAAAUUAAACCGACUUCUUUACAGCAGAUCUGUGAAGUUCAGAAAUGUGGUAAUGAGUUAUCAGUUAAAUGGAUAUAGUAUACAGAUGAUUUCUGAUUGAACAUUUCGGAUUGGAUAUGAUGGUUGUUUGCUAUUUAGAAAUAAAAGCUGAACAGAGAGAUUCAGAACUUAUACAGGAGAAUUUGCAUGAAAUUAUAGUAGUACUAUGUCUAUGCAUUUUGGAAGAAUAAGAUGUGCAGUGAUUUGAGACAGAUGUAUUGAAGACUGGAAAAAGAAAAGCAAUACUUUGAAUUUGCAUAUAAAUGGUUAUAUUAGGUACAGAUAUCUUCAGAACUGUUACAACCAGUGGUGACAUCAGAAUGGAAAUGGGAUAAAAUUUUUAUGGAGUCUAAGUUGGAAUUAUCUCUAUUUUUGAAAAAGAAUAUGCGGAGCUGUUUGAUUCGUGAAAUUGAAGAAAAGUGGAAGUAAUUCGAGAUAGACUGAAAGCAGUUUUGACAAACAGAAAUUAUAUAUAGACUUGAAAUGUUGGGAUAUUGAGUAUUUUGUUACUGAUAUGGUAUUUCUUAAAGAUUCACCUUGGAAGAACAUUUUGAAGAUCGGGUUGAAAGAGAAAUUAAGUUCUUGUUCUGUUGGGCUAUGUGAAGUUGUAGAAAAUUCGGACCGGUAAAAUAUUGUUUGGUUUUGCUUCUGAAGUUACAGAAAGUUUAUGAUAAUUUUUCAUGAUUUAAAGCUCAGAAGAUUAUAGAGAUCAAAUCUCUUGCAUGUUAUAUUGACAAAGGAUAUUGAGAUUUGAUGUAAUCUAUACUAUGAAAAAGAGCCGGUUGAGAUACUAGUCGAGCGAUAAUGUCAUAAUAUUGAGGAAACAAUAUGGGAACCGAGAGGAACAGCGAGAUCUUUGUACUUAUACCCCCGCCUCUCUCAGGUAAAUUUCGAGGACUAAAUUUAUAAAAGGGGGGGAGAAAUGUAACGACCCGAAUUUUACCGUUACUGAAAAAGUAUAUUUUUGGGUCUCCGUUUCUGAAAAACGGAUUCGUAAAUAUUUAUUAAAAAUAUUUACGAAGUAAAAUGAGUAGUUAAUUAGAGUUUAAUUAAGUGAAUUUAAUUUAAUUAAUAGUAAUUAAGAAAAAGGACUAAAUUGAAUAAGAGGUAAAAUUUGAAUUAUAGAUUAAAAGAAAAUAAAAAGGACUAAAAAGGAAAUUAUACAAAAAGUAUAAAUUGAGGCGGUUUACCGUGAAGAAAAUCUAAGAUUUUUUUUAUGUUUAGUAUAUUAUUAUAUUAUUAUAUAAUAAAGAUAUUUUAUGUUUUAAUUAUAUUAUAUUAUAUAAACUAAAGAAAGGAAAUAGAAACAGAAUGAAACGAAACAGAGAGCAGGGGAGAAAAAGAAAGAAAGAAAGGGAGAAAAGAGAAAAUUUAAGGUUUGAAGCUUUAAGCUUUAAUAGGUAAGUCAAUCAAGCCCUUUUUACUUAAUUUUGAUGUUUUAGAAGUUUUAGAACAAAGUUUUGAUGAAAUUAAGUUGAUAUUUUGAUAGUUAUUAGAUUUCUAGAUAUUGUCCAUGUUAAAUAAAAUGAUGAAUUAAGGGCUAAAUUGAUAGAAAUUCAAGUUAAAAAUGAUACAAGGAUUAAAUUGUAAAGUGAUUCAUAGGUUUUAUGCUUUAAGGACUAAAUUGAAAGAAUUUUUGAAAUUAUGGUUUUAUGAUGAAAAAUAGAUAAUUAUGUCUAAGUUUGGUUAAAAAUUGAGUAGAAAUAAAGUAUGAAUUAAGAUAGAAAAGUAAGUGAAUUUAUUUAGAAUUAAAUUGAAAUUAAAGUAGAAAAUCAACAUUUUGUACUAAGACUAUUUUGGACAGUAGCAAUAGUCUAAGUUUGAAAAAUCACCAAAAAUUAUAGAAAUUUAAUUAGAGGAUGAAUAAAAUAUUUAAUUAAAGCUUAUUGAGUCUAGUUUCUUAUAGAAGAAACGGUAUAAGCAAUUGAAUUGUAAAUUAUGAGAUAUAAUGAAUUUUGUGAGACAAGGUCAGAAUGAAUUUGGGUUCCCCUGUUCUGACUUUGGAAAAUCACCAAAAAUUGAAGAAAAAUAACUAGAGGCUUAAAGUUAUAUGUUUAUAAUCCCUAAUGAGUCUAUUUUCAGGAAAAAUCAACGGGAAUAUUAUUCGAGUUCUGUACUAUGAGAUAAUUAAUUUUUAGUAAAGAAGGGUCGAAACUGUCAGACAGCAGAAUAGGGGUGAAUUUAAAGAAUAAACUGUAUUUAAUGGCUUAAUGAAAAAUUCUGAAAAUUUUAUGGUAAGAAUAUUUGUGAGUCUAGUUUUAGGAAAAAUUAGCGGAUCUUAAUUUAAAAUUCUGUAACUCAAGAUAUAAAUUAGUAAUGUAUUAAUGGUUAUGAAUUGUAUUAAAUUAUGAAUUAAUGUGAAAAAUUGAGAUAUAUAUAUUGAAUUGAAUGAGAUUGUGAAAAUGUGUGAAUAUAUGUAAUUAUUGGAAUGGUAUAUUAAGGAAAGAAUUAUUGAAUUGAGAAAGUGAAUUAUAAUUGAUACUGAACUAAGAUAGAAAUUAUACUGAAAAGUGAAUUAAAUACCCUAUUAACUAGUCGGACUGAGUCGGAUAUAGUUGGCAUGCCAUAGGAUUUGGAAGUGUUCAGGCACUGAGUGCCAUACUGGUGUGUUUGGUUGGAAUCCGCAUAUCCGCCAAAGUCCGAGUCUUGUUAAUAGGGAUAAAUAUGAAUAUUAAGUAAAAUUGAAAUAAGAAUUAAAUUCCCUAUUAACUUGUCGGGCUAGUCGGAUACAAUUGGUAUGCCAUAGGAUUGGAAGUGUACGGGAUUUAUUGGCUUUACCGAUCAGGCACUUUAUGUGACGUAUUUUAGGCACUUAUGUGCUGGUUACUGUUACCGCUACUGCUACUGUUACCGAUUCGGCACUUUGUGUGUCGAAUGUUGUUACUGUUACCGUUACUGAUUCGGCACUUUGUGUGUCGAAUAUUGUUACUAUUACCGUUACCGAUUCGGCACUUUGUUACUAAAUUUUUGGGCUAAUUGGGUCAGAUUGGGAUUAGUUUUGGGUAGGUUUUGGUUGUUUGGGCUUCUGUUAGGCGUUUUUGUGUUUAGGGUUUUGGGCCCAAAAUUGGGCUUGUACAGACAACAACACACAUACCAAUCAAAUUAAGACUCAAUUGAACACAUAAUUGAAGUUUAAAAAAUACUAAAUAAAUAAAGAAUGUAUGGGCUAUAAGUAAACAAUUUGUAAUUAUUGUGAGGUUAUAUCAUACCACAAUAAUGGGUUCACGGGUUUGAUUUGGUGCUUAAGAAGAUUCUAUAUCCAAACUAUAGGUUUAAGUUUUUAUAUAUGCAUAUUAGUUGAUGUAAUUAGGUGUUAAGUGUUGUUUUUUAUAAACACUUGGAAUUUGAGAAUUGACAUUUGUUGUAAAUUCUUGGGGAUAAAGCGAUGAAAAAUUAUUGACGUUGAAGUAAUGCAGAUUGAUAUGGGUUGGGUUGAAGAAUUUAAUUCACAAUCUAAUUAAUAGCUUCUUUGAAAGAAAUCACUACCUGUAAUAAAUUCAACCUCACCUCCACAAACACUAACAAAUAGUGUAUAGAUCAAUGGGUAAUAACUAAAAAGUAACUAUGGCCUAUAUUGUUCUCCUUUGAGUUUAAUUACUCAAGCAUUUUUAGUGUUUUAAAUUAUUUAAAUUUACUUUGCCUUUAUUUAUUAUUGAGGUUGAAAAAUAUUUUUUAAUUUAAACUUUGGUUUCGAAUAAAAAAUUUUAAUAGACAAACAAUUUUUCAAAUCAAAUCUUAUUUUUAAUUCUGAAUUCUAACCCAAACUAAAAUUUUUAGAAAUGUUUUUUUUAAUGAAAUUACAUUUUUCUCCCCUAAUUAAAUUUUCUAAUUUAUAACAUCAUGUCUAAAAUGUCAUUUUAUUUCUUAAAAAUACUUUUUAAUAUUAGUGAUAAAUAUUAUCAAAAUUUUUAAAAACUCUUUUUUACAACAUUUUUCAACUAAAUUGAUAAGCUAACCCUUCUAAACUUACUUGAAACUAUCAUUUUUUUUUUCUUUUCUAUUCUCUUACUUCAAAACUAUAGCUAUUGAGACAGAUAUUAGUUCCCCAAUGGAAUUCAUACAUAAUUAAAGAAGAGCUCAACCCCAACCAAAUAUAAUAUAUCUUAUCUUAUGAUAAAUUUGAGAGUGCAUUAAUCAUUAAUUAUAUUAGAUAUGACACGAUCAUGAUGUGGGUAAAAAAUAUCAUAUAAUAAAUUUCUAAAAAUGGGUUGGUUGAAUCUUAACUCAAUUGGUAUCAAUAUUGUUGUUAGUACAACAAGACAUAGGUUCGUGCAUUAUCUUCUUAUUUAAGAGUUAGAGUGAGUUAUGAAUAAUUUUAAGCAUUAUAUAAAAAAAAUAAAUAUUAAGAAUUGUGAUAUGGUAAUUUUAAAAUAAUAAAAAUUAUAAUAUCUUGAUUUAAAUUCCAUAUGUAUUUUUUUUAAAUUACAGCUUAAUUAAAACUAAAUGCAUACAAGAAAUCAAAUAGUCAAAGGUUUCGAGGACAAGCAUGAUUUAUUUCUUGAAUUCUCAGCAUAUUGCAGUUUAGUGGAAAUCAAAAUGUAAAGCAAGUCCAAGGAAUCUUUGCAUUUUUGUGCAGUCAAACAAGCUUUUUUUUAAAUGUCUUUUUUAGUUUCCCAUUUGAGAAUGCUUACAUCUUCCUCACAGUCAUGGACCCAAAACUGUACUUCCUAAUGAGUUUCAACUCGUAUUAUCAAUUGCCAAGGUUACCCAUUUAAUAUUCUAAUCAUUAGAUGUCAACAACAAUAAAAUAAGAAAAAAAAAGACCUAAAAAAAAAUAAAAGAAUAAUAGAAUGAUCCUAAACUAUGUGAUUAAUUUUAAGCAUAUAAAAAAUUUAUCAUACACUUAUGUCUAUACAAUCACUAUCCUAACUCAAUAUAACUUAAAACUUUUGGGCAGUCAACACACUUUCUAUUUUACUUUUCUCUUGGGGAUUAACGCAGGUCUGAGUUGAGAGAAUUUGCAAAUUCUCAUUGCAUUUUUCUCGAUAGGACAAAAUUCUUGACUGAUUUGAUUGGGUUUAUUAUAAAUCUUUGUAUAUAUGUUUUCCCUUCAACCUCUAUAAAUUUUCUUUUUCUCCGAAUUGUAUGAUGAUUUCUAAUAAAAUCUGUAAAAGUCGUAUCAAUUUUCAAUAAAAUUGAGUUUCAAAUGAAAAUUAUAUUAUUCGCAAUACAUUUAUAAAAGUUAAUUUAUUACUUCUUAGUAUGAUAUUAAUAUAACUUAUUCACAAAUAACAAAUAUAAGAGGUAGACAUAUUUUGCACUACAUAUGAAAAAAUAAUUACAAACAUAAUAAAAUUAUAUAAGAUUUAUUGCCAUAACUAGAUGCAGAGAUUUUAUAAAUAAAUUGGUAAGGAAACAAGAAGUAAGGAAAUAAAACAAUGUUGCGGAAAGGAUCGAUUCGAGAACUCCGAUAUGACUACAAGUAAAUUGACCGAAACGAAAAAUAAAGUGAACACAAGGAUUUACGUGGUUCGGCUUUAAUGCCUACGUCCACGGGCAGAGGCGAAAAGAAAUUUCACUAUAACAAGAUGAAGAUUACAAGUGUUUUACACUCAAGACACAACCCGAGAACCUCACAACUCUCAACCCCUAUAGAAAACCCGAAAGCUAAAAUCCUAGCUUUCAAAGAACAAGCUUUUCUCUCUCUUGGUUUGGGAUGAUCAAUAUGGCUAAUGAACCUCUCUAUUUAUAAGAGAGUUCAAGGACAUAAUUGUCCAAAACUUUGGCAAAGAUUUGUGGUUGAAAAUGGACACCAACAACCAUCCACUAAUCCACUACCACCAACAACCCACUACCAACAACAACAAUCCACUACCAAUUUUAAGCCAUUUCUUAACAAAUCUCCACCUUGGCUUGAAAUUUACCAAGCUGAACAUCAUAGUGAACUGGAUCACCUCUUCCAAACGCCUCUCUGGCGCUAAUCAAUCCCGAAUACCUAUCAAGUCCAAGCAAUGCUUGAACUUAUAUGCAGGGAUCACCUUAGUUAACAUAUCUGCAGGAUUCUUCUCGGUAGCAACCUUGCUGAUAACAAUGUCACCUUGCGUAACAUGUUCCCGAACAAAAUGAUAUCUGACAUCAAUGUGUUUGGUCCGUUCAUGAAACAUCUGAUUUUUAGUCAGAUGUAUGGCACUCUGGCUAUCGCAAAAUACAACAGUGAAAUCCUGUUGUAAACCCAAACUGCUUACUAGACCUUUCAUCCACAAUGCUUCUUUCACUGCUUCUGCUAACGCCAUAUAUUCCGCCUCAGUCGUAGAUAAGGCUACGGUAGACUGUAACACAGCUUUCCAACUAAUGGCUCCUCCAGAAUAAGUGAAAACAUAACCCGUCAGAGAUCUUCUUUUGUCCAGAUCUCCAGCAUAAUCAGAGUCCGCAUAGCCCGUGACACUGCUAGUGCAGUCACUCUGAUCAUAUACCAAGCAUAAAUCUGCAGAACCUCUCAAGUACCUGAGAAUCCAUUUCACGGCCUGCCAGUGUUCCUUGCCAGGACAACUCAUGUAUCUGCUGACCACACUAACUGCAUGUGAAAUGUCUGGACGAGUGCAAACCAUUGCAUACAUCACGCUUCCAACUGCACUCGAGUAUGGAAUGUGAGACAUUUGCUGCUUUUCUUCAUCAGAUUGUGGUGACAACUCUGCAGAGAGUUUGAAAUGUGGUGCCAACGGAGUACUCACAGUUUUCGCUUUAUCCAUGCCGAAGCGUUGAAGAACCUUUUCAAUGUAGUUCUUCUGCGACACACGAAGCUUGCCCGCCUUGCGAUCUCUGUGAAUAUCCAUGCCCAAAAUUUUCUUGGCAGCACCCAGAUCCUUCAUCUCGAACUCACCACUCAACUGCGACUUUAACUUGUUGAUUUCCGACAUGUUUUUGGAAGCAAUUAACAUGUCAUCAACAUACAGCAACAAAUAAAUGUGCGAACCAUCUGAGAGCUUCCGAUGAUAGACACAAGCAUCAUAGUCACAUCUUGUGUAACCAUGCUGAAUCAUGAAGCUAUCAAACCGCUUGUACCACUGCCUUGGGGAUUGUUUCAAUCCAUAUAAAGACUUCUUUAAUAGACAGACAUGGUCUUCUUUACCAGGAACUGUAAAACCCUCUGGUUGACGCAUGUAGAUUGUUUCCUCGAGCUCACCAUGCAAGAACGCCGUUUUUACGUCAAGCUGCUCAAGUUCUAGAUCAGACUUGGCCACCAUGGCAAGUAAUAUACGAAUGGAAGAAUGCUUUACGACUGGGGAGAAAACUUCAUUGUAGUCAAUCCCCUCUUUCUGAGUGAAGCCUUUAGCAACCAAUCGUGCCUUGAAUCUAGUUGCUUCAACCCCUAGGAUGCCUUCCUUUUUCUUGAAGACCCAUUUGCAACCAACUAUCUUCUGGUUACUUGGCGGCUUAACCAACUCCCAAGUAUGGUUCUUGUGAAGAGAUUCUAUCUCCUCACUCAUAGCAAUUGCCCACUGUGCCGACUCAUCACACGUGACAGCCUCAUUAUAACUGGAAGGUUCUAUACCAAUGGACUCCGCCACACUGAGCGCGAAAGACACCAGAUUAGCGUAACGCGGAUUUGGUUUGAUUUGUCUCUUCGUUCUUCCAGUGGCAAUGCUAUAUGGUUUUUCUUGAGGUGACUCAUCUUCAUCGGAAUCUUGCACCUCAACUUGAUCAUCCUGGACUGAAGUACCUUCCGUAGGAAUUGGAGCGUCCACCUGACACUCCACCUGCUUCUCAACACCGUGAUCUCCCAUUCUAUCUGACUCCUCCUUUUCCCGGGAAUUUGUGGUGGAUCGAAGCAUGGAUGACUCAUCAAAAGUCACAUCUCUGCUGAUGAUGAACUUGGACGAAACCGGAUCAGGACACCACAACCUGUAUCCUUUCACCCCUUGGCCGUAUCCAAGAAAUAUGCAUUUCUUCGCCCUCGGUUUGAGUUUUCCCUCAUUUACAUGAGCAUACGCAGGGCAGCCAAACACUCUUAAACCAGAGUAAUCAGCAGGAGAACCAGACCAUACUUCCUCAGGAGUCUUCAGCUCAAUAGCUGUUGACGGAGAUCUGUUAACCAAAUAACAAGCAGUAUUAACAGCUUCAGCCCAAAAUUCUUCACCGAGCCCAGCAUUUGAUCGCAUGCAACGAGCUCGCUCCAAGAGAGUUCUAUUCAUGCGUUCUGCAACUCCAUUUUGUUGUGGUGUUCGACGAACAGUGCGGUGUCUCACUAUUCCUUCAUUCUUGCAGAACUCAUUGAAUUCACCUGAGCAAAACUCCAAGCCAUUAUCCGUCCGGAAUCGCUUGAUCUUCUUUCCUGUUUGAUUUUCGAUCAAAGCUUUAAAUUGCUUGAAGUUGAUGAGAACCUCAUACUUGCUCUUCAGAAAAUACACCCAAACCUUUCUCGAGUAAUCAUCGAUAAAGGUAAGCAGAUAUCUGUAACCACCUUUAGAAAUUGUCGGAGAAGGCCCCCAAAGGUCAGAAUGGAAGUAAUCCACUGUGCCUUUUGUCUUGUGAAUCCCAGUGCUGAACUUUACCCGAGUCUGCUUACCGAAGACGCAGUGCUCACAGAAAUUCAACUUUCCUGUACACUGCCCAGACAAUAAUCCUCGUUUGCUUAGCACCGAUAAGCCUCUCUCGCUCAUAUGCCCGAGCCGCAUAUGCCAUAACUUCGUGGUGUCAGAAUCUAGAUCAUCUGAUGAUGACACUCCCGCAACACCUGUAACCGAGGAACCAUCGAGGAAGUAAAGGCCCCGCUCCAAAUUACCACGUAUCACAGUCAAAGCACCCGAGAAUACCUUGAGAACUCCACCUUCAGCAGAGUACCGAAAGCCUUUCUUGUCCAACGUACUCAAAGAGAUCAAAUUUUUCUUCAUUUCUGGAAUGUGCCGAACAUCAGUUAGAGUUCUAACAAUACCGUCAAACAUCUUUAUACGAACUGUGCCAAUCCCCAUGACUUGACAUGCGUGGUCAUUUCCCAUUAGUACUGAACCAGAAUGCUUCUCGUAUGUUGAGAAUGCAUCUUUCGAAGUACUUAUAUGAAAUGUAGCUCCCGUAUCAAGAAUCCAUCUCCCACCAGCGUAAGAGUCGGAUACUGCAAGAACGAUCUCGGCAUCACUUGAAGAAUCUGCAUCAGCUACAUUCGCACGAUCAUUUUGUUGCUCCUGUGAUUCUGAUUUCUCCUUCCUUUUCGGACAAUCUACCUUCAUGUGCCCGUACUUCUUACAGUAGUAGCACUGUAUUCUCUUCUUGGACUGCGAUCUAGGAUGGCUUUUACUUGAACUUCCACCCUUUGCCUUGGAUCUUCCUCGAGCAACCAAGCCUUCGCCUUCAUUGUUUUCGACCACCUUACCAGUGAUUUUCUUCCUCAACUCACUGGAACUUAAGGCAUUUUUCACCUCCUCUAGAGUCAGGUCAUCACGACCGUACAUCAUUGUAUCAACAAAAUUCUCAUACGAGGGAGGCAAAGAACACAAAACAAUUAUUGCUUGGUCCUCAUCAUCGAUUUUGUUAUCGAUAUUAUUCAAAUCCAUGAUAAUGGAAUUGAAUUUAUCCAGGUGCUGGGAAACAGGUGUACCUUCCUCCAUCUUCAGGGCAUAGAGUCUUUGCUUGAGGUAGAGCCGGUUCGUCAAUGACUUCGUCAUGUACUUGCUUUCUAACCGGAGCCACAAACCGGACGCGGUUUUCUCAUCCGCUACUUCUCGUAGCACUUCAUCUCCUAGACAUAGCAGAAUAGCACUAUGUGCUCUUUCUAGCAUGUCAUCCUUUUGCUCUUCCGAAAGCGUGCUUGGUAAUUUAUCUUUACCAGACAAUGCUUUUAGCAAUCCUUGUUGAACCAGCACUGCCCGCAUCUUGAUGCGCCAUAAACUGAAACUAUUUUUCCCGGUAAAUUUCUCGACAUCAUACUUAGUCGAUGAAACACUUGUAGCCAUAAUUUGGAACCUUUGAAUGAAUGAUAAUAUUUUCUUCCUGAUGUGAAAGAUCAGACAAAGCUGCAGUCACAGGGCAAUUCAGAAAAUAUUAUCACUCCUUCAACUACGCUCUGAUACCAAUUUGUUGCGGAAAGGAUCGAUUCGAGAACUCCGAUAUGACUACAAGUAAAUUGACCGAAACGAAAAAUAAAGUGAACACAAGGAUUUACGUGGUUCGGCUUUAAUGCCUACGUCCACGGGCAGAGGCGAAAAGAAAUUUCACUAUAACAAGAUGAAGAUUACAAGUGUUUUACACUCAAGACACAACCCGAGAACCUCACAACUCUCAACCCCUAUAGAAAACCCGAAAGCUAAAAUCCUAGCUUUCAAAGAACAAGCUUUUCUCUCUCUUGGUUUGGGAUGAUCAAUAUGGCUAAUGAACCUCUCUAUUUAUAAGAGAGUUCAAGGACAUAAUUGUCCAAAACUUUGGCAAAGAUUUGUGGUUGAAAAUGGACACCAACAACCAUCCACUAAUCCACUACCACCAACAACCCACUACCAACAACAACAAUCCACUACCAAUUUUAAGCCAUUUCUUAACAAACAAGCUGAAUAAUACAAGUCUUUUCACGUCCCUUAGAGAUACUAAAGUUCCCUAAGAAAACAUUUGAAGAAAAGUAUUAGACUUAUUCUAUAUCAAUCCCACAAGGAAAGUUACAACUGAAAACACUCUGUAAAUAAUAGAAAUAAUAACUUUCUAAAAUCAAACACAAACACCAUAAGAAAGACGAUAAAAAGUGUAGGGAACAGUGAUGGUUUAGCAUUGGAAGCCAGUAGGAACGUUCCUUGAACAAACGUUGAGGAGCAAGCUAAGGGAAACUGGGAUGUUAAGGUUGAUGCCUAAAAUGUUAGCUCUGAUAGCGGUGCAAAGGCAUGCAGCGGCUUCGAGGUCGACAAGGCCAUUGAGAAGGGAACAGCAUGGCAUCACUGGGGGUGAACCAAUGGUGACAUUGACUAGGUUAAGCACAUUGGCACAUACACCUAAUUUGAGGGCAUCCCUAGGGCACCUGCCUCGUGCAGAUGGAGUAGGAGUGGGGGUGUUGGGGUUUGGGUUUGGCCUUGGUUUAGGGGUGGGUGAAGAGCAAGAGCCACAAGCACUGACUAGGGAAAAAAAGAGAAUGUUGAGUGCCAAAAGGAGGACCAUGGAAGCUGAUCUUUUAGAAGCCAUUUUGAUCUUCUCUCAAAACCUUAGUGGCUUACUUUCUUGGCUUUAGAGUUAAAAAGGUACAAGUGUUCGAGGAUGGGGAACUUGGAGUGAAGGAAGGGGGGGUUUUAUAGUGUUUCCAAGAAGGCUAGUGGGUUGUUUUUUUAAUGUUAGGUUAAUUGAUGAAAUUGUAGAAUAAAUCAAUUUGAUUUUUAUUAAGCUGACUUGUGAAGUUUGGUUGUUUGUGAUUUGUGAGGUGGAAAUUAACACACUACCAUGUUACCAUUGCUCCUAUAGGAUCAAUAAUACGUGGAUCUGUCUUAGCCUAACUUUAAAUGAAUACCCUCUUGUAAUGUUCCAUGUUCUUCCAAAUUAUAAGCAUAAUAGUGACAACUUACAAACCGCUAAGUAGAGACAAAAUGGAUUACAAAUUAAUAAUCUCUCUUUGUCAAACCUUUCAUGUUCUUCUUCAGCCAUUAGUACCCUUUAAACAGAUUUUCUGAACUUCAUUCACAUUAAACUCAAAUUUUAUUCAACUUCCCAAUGCAGUAAUAAACUUACUAUAAGCAGCUAAUGUAUGCAAAACCAACUUCAAAUAAUGGUUUCUACUUUAACUCAUUUAAUCAAAUUCAAAAGGGUGAUUGUUUUCCUUAAAAACCAUCUUUGAAUGGUACAAACCAGUUUGAAAUGCUUCCAUAUUAAUAUUCAAUAAUAUUAUUUUGAGAUUAUUAAUAAUUACUGCCAACCAACCUCCUUUUUUAUUAUUUUGUUCAAAAAUGGAUGCAAAGUGUUGGAGAUAUUGGCAUGUUGCCAAUGGAAGUUGUUAUAGCUGGAUUCGACUGGUAUGUCACGGGUGAACUUUAGAGCCUACCGUGGAUUCCACGCAAUUAGCCCUAUUUCUAACUUAAAAUGAAUGCUUAUGUUUAUAUCCAAAUUGAUAUUUUAAAUAUUAACUAAUUAUUUUUCAUUUCUAUAGUUCAAACGAUUAAAUUUAUAAGUAAAUUUCAACUAUUAAUAAAUGACCUGUAUUAAUAUAAGGCCUGGGGCCUUAGAACGAGACCAAAUAACUUGAAUCUUUUCUCUUCUCAAUUAUCUCCAAUAUUAUUAUUUCCUUUUCUUUUUUUUUUUACCUCAAUUAUCUUAUCUGAUAAUUUUUCGUUUUAUCCUAAAUAAAGUGAAUCACUCAUCUCGUAUAUCAAUAAAAUUUAAAUUAAACUCGUAAGUGAUUUGUGAAGAGGCUUAAAUACAAGUUUUAUCAUUUUUUGGGCGACGGCCCUUGAAUGCGUGCUACAAUCUUUAGCAUUUGACAAAUGUGAUUCCACCAUAUGAGGAAGCUAGAUCGUUGACAUUGAUUGCUUAAACAAAAGCUAUAAUUUCUUACUGUAGUUUCUAUGGAGAAUACAAAUAUCUUCGCAUUCAAACAAAAGAUUAUGAAUAUGUGUACUCCUGUAAAUUCCAAUAACUCUAAAAUAUUUAUUAACGGAGCAGAUUAUUACCACAUUAGGAAGAACAAAAAGGUGAAAUUUAUCAAUUUACAAAAUAAAUAAAUAAUUAUACAUUUAAAAAGAUAAAUGUUUGAAACAAUAAAAAAAAUUCCUUCAAAAUUAGCAUUUUCUCAAACAAAAAACUCUUUCAUUAUAUAUAGUAUGAAUCCAUUGAAAAAUCACCCAAACUUCUCUGCAGAAAUAUAAAAAUAAAUAAAUAAAAUAAUAAGAAAUUUUUCUAGAGCAAAGACCAAAUUGAUUUAUAUAUUCUUUUUUUUUUCUCUCUUGAAAUUUGACAAAAUUCCAUAAUACAAACAAAAUGUUGUAAUAUUGAGUUUUCCAAUUUCAAACCUUUGGAAAAAAAGGAAAGCAAUAUCCAGAAAAUCCGAAGCAAAUAUAACAGCGAUAAUGAAAUAAUUCCUUUUAUAUUACACAGAUCAGAUUAUCAAAUCAAUUUUUCAACUCAUUAGAAGGAGCUUUAGAAUAAAUUAUAUUAUAAUUACACAAAAAUAUUUGCCGACAAAAGAAUGUCACAGAAAGGUCUGACUUUAAUCAUCGGCUGCAUCAGGUCUGCUUACUUUGUUCAGUAUUUUGCCAUCCCGUGAAAAAUUAUUUUUAUAAGUUUUUCUAAUAAAUAUAAUAAUUCAAAAUAAAAAAAUAUUACUUUUAUUAAAAUAGUAACUGGGACAGAAGCAUAAUCGCAACUCACUUUUAUUAAUAUUAGAUAUUCAUUAUGAAUGGUUCAAAAUUCAGCAUAAAUAUCAAAUUUAUAUAUAAAUUUUAAUUUAAUGUAAUUAUACAUAUAAAAUAUAAAUUGUGAUAUCUAUUUAUACAAAAGAUUUUGUUUUUUAUUCAACUAUAUAUAUUAAAAAAAUAAAUAUAUACAUUUAUUUUUGUAUCAGAUUAAAAUAUUUGUUUGUAUAUGUAAUAUGUCAAUAUAAAAUGGUGCUAACUUAAUAAUAUUGUUAGUGAUUUGUGAAAAUUAAAUCAAAUCAAAAUUUUAUGUAUAAAAUCAUAUAAAAUUAAAGUUUAUGUAUUGUAUAACAUUGCACAUUGGAUCAAAUCAAAAUUAUUUUGUUAUUUUUCUGUUAUGUUAUUAAUAAAUUACACAAUCUAAGAAGUUUGGAUUUGGUAGCUUUAACUAUUAAAAUUAUCAUGUUUAAACAAAAGUUAGAAUAAAAAAAGAAAAGAAAAAAGAAGACAAUUCUGCAAGAAAAAAAGUUCAAUACAAAAUAUUUGUUAAUACUAUUAAAAUUCAUCAAUUCAACUUUACGAAGCUUCUCUUAGAAAAUGAUUUUACUCAAUAAUUAACCCGAUACUAUUAUUGUCUUAAGGCUAAUCUACCUUUUCACAGUAGAUGAUUAUAGUCUCAAAAUCAAACAAAAAUUGUUACAAUCACUCUUCUAAAAAUCUCACCUACAAUCAAUAAUAUCUCUCCAACAAAUACCUAAACAAAGAGUAUCACAAUACAUAAUAACUCUGUGCCAAAUCAAUGACAUAUUUUCAAAAAUCAAAUAACAAGCCUUCAAACUUUAAUCACCAAUCAUUUCAAACAAUAUUAUCCAUUAAAUUUCUCCAAACAAUUUGAUUAGUUUGAAUUCUUGAAAGAUAAGGAUAGAGUUCACACAUCUUUAAAUUCUUCUUUUCUCUUCAAGAGUAUUAUCCAAUAAAUAACAUUAAGCUUGAUCAUAUCUAGCUUCCUAAAUUACCUACAUUUAUUGCCUAAAUAUACUUUAUAAAAUAAUUACUUAAAUUAUAAUACCAACAAAAAUAUAAAUAAUUUAAUUGUCACAAACUGGUCUAUAAUAUUACCAUGAAACAUAGUCCACGUAUCAUUAUAAACUUUAAAUUAAAAGAGAAAAAAAAUGAUAGCUUUGACCACAGGUUUGGGGAUAACCAUCACUAAUGUGUUGAAUUAUGAGGAUAUUGUGGUUGAAAUCAAAAUGUAAAGCAAGUCCAGGGAAUCUUUGCCUUUUUUGCAGUCAAAUGAGAUUUUUCUAAUGUCUUUUUUUUAGUUUCCCAUUUUGGAUUUCUUACAUCAUCCUCAACAAAGUCUCACUCACGGACUCAAAAACUGUGCUUCCUAAUGAGUUUCAACUCAUAUUGUAUUUAUUAAGUUAAAUAUUAGCUAUAAUAUCUGUUAAAUAUGACUCCUAUUUUUAGUCAAAUUUGAAAAAUAAUCUUUCAGUUAAACUCUGUUCACUUGUUUCAAUCAAACAUUGUGUUUACGUUUUGAGGGUUCUUUGUUUUCGAAGUUUAGUCUUUAUCUCCAUCUUUUAUAUUCUUCGUUCUUUUGUCAUUAUAGUAAAAUUACCUUUACCCGUGGUUUUUUAUCCUCUUUGGAGGGAUUUUUUCACGUUAAAUUUGUGUGUUCAAUUUCUUAAUUUAUUUCGCUAUUUUUCUUGUUCGUUGCUUAAUCGAGUUGAUCCUAACAAUAUCUAUAAUAAAAUAAUAUAUAACAUUAAAUAAAUUGAGAUAAAUAGAGUUUUCGGCAGAACAUCAACGACUUUUGAUACAAUGUUGUACCAUUCUAAAAUGAAAUAUUUGAUGUGGAUAAGGAUAGUGCAUGAGGAUUUUCAAUUUUUGGAGGGAUAUUAGUCAUGUUGGCCUACAAAAUGUAGUGUCUCAAGCAACAUGGCAAACAAGGUUGCUUUCCAUUGGGAACCACCUCCUCCCGGGUGGAUAAAGUUUAAUGUGGCCGGUGUAGCUUUGGAAGACGAAGCGGGUUAUGGUGGGGUCUUGAGUGAUGAUAAAGGAGUGGCUUGUGCUUUGUUCUCAAAACCGAUUGUGGCCAAGUGAUCAGAAACAAUUGAGAUAAUAGUCAUUAAAACAGUCGUGGAACUAUAUAUUGGGUUGAGACGGCAGGUGAAAAUCUCAUUAAUUAUUGAAAUUAGUUUGUGUGUUGCUUUGGAGUCGCUGAUGAAUAGGAAUUAUAAAUUGUGGUCAUUAAGAAAUCUAUUUAGUGAUAUCAACUACAACAUUAACCAGCUGAAUUGAUUUCAAUUCGUACUUAUUCACCGGUAAGGUAAUGGUAUGGCUAAUGCUCUGACAAAAGUAAGUAUAUCAAGACCUUCGUUUUUUAUGGCCUGGUAAUGAAUUUUGCUUACUAUCUUUUAGUAGUGUUUGAGUGGAGGGUAUUUGUCUUAGGUUGAGUGUUGUAAUCUUGUUGUGCUUAAAAGAGGUUGCUUUUAUCAAACAUUUUUCUCGGUUUGCUAUAUUUUUCAAGAAAAAAGAAGAAGAAAUAAAACAAGUUAAAUAAUGUAAGUUUUUUCAUAUCCAUUGGAAAUACAAUAAACCCUCGUAGAAAAGCACUUAAAAAAGUAUUAGACUUAUUUUAUAUCAAUCUCCAUAAGAAAAUUUAAACAACAAAGUAUCUAAUGAUAAUAUUGAUGUACCGUAAAUACUGAAUCAUAAUUUUAAAAACCAAACACAAACACAAACACGAACACGAACACGAUAAGAAAGAUGAGAAAGAAUGUAGGAACAAUGAUGACUUAGCAUUGGAAACCAGUAGGAACAUUCCUUGAGCAAACGUUGAGAAGCAAGCUAAGGGAAACUGGGAUGUUAAGGUUGAUGCCUAAGAUGUUAGCUCUGAUAGCGGUGCAAAGGCAAGCAGCGGCUUCGAGGUCCACAAGACCGUUGAGAAGGGAACAACAUGGCAUCACCGGGGGUGAACCAACGGUGACAUUGACUAAGUUAAGCACAUUGGCACAUA
RNAcentral lists this long non-coding RNA (26241 nucleotides) under Gossypium barbadense (sea-island cotton). Its description in RNAcentral is "long non-coding RNA (GBAR_LNC009839)". Lineage: Eukaryota; Viridiplantae; Streptophyta; Magnoliopsida; Malvales; Malvaceae. The record is from RNAcentral.